Molecule: non-coding RNA, 416 nt
Organism: Paramuricea clavata
Lineage: Eukaryota; Metazoa; Cnidaria; Anthozoa; Malacalcyonacea; Plexauridae
Source: the annotation of a GenBank genome assembly
GAGGAUCGAACCCACAAUCUCAGAGGUGAAAGGCGCUUGCUCAGCCUACUACCUGAACCAACUACAUGAAAACGCCUGAAAAAUACAAGCAGCGGUGGCCAAGUGGUUAGCGCACUUGCCUUUCACCUCUAAGGUCGCAGGUUCGAAUCUCAGUGAGAACUUCUCAAUGUGACUCGAACCCAGUCCUCAUGUGAAAAGAGUAAAAGUCGACGCUCUGCCGAAAGUCGUGGGUUUUCUCCGGGCACUCCGUGUUUCCUCCCACAGGGAAAGUUGACAGGGUGGGUUAGGCACAUAGGAUAGGUCUGGAGGCAGAUCAUUAAUGAGGUAUGGACUAAUAGCGGCAGCUGCUCAAGCGCCAUUUGUAAGCUCAAAGUCUACCUCGGUCUGCUUCACGUCAGUCCGGUUCUAUCUAUCUA